UGAAAGUGGAAAAAAGGAGUGUGAAAAGGGCAGGAGUUCAGCUGAGCUGGAUGUUUGCUGGCAAAAUGUAAAAGGGAAGAAACCCAACACGUUGGGAAUGAAACUGAGAGGGUGUGCCUUGCUCUGGCAAGGACUGCAGGCCAGUGCAGUGCAGAGAUUCACUAGCAGCAGCCUGAGCAGUGUGGGUUCAGCUGUGUUUGACAGAUUUUCAGGGUCCCUUCCAACAAAUACUGUCACUAUUCCAUGACAAAGUGUGCUUCCUUUGGUGGCAUCCCUUUCCAUAGUUCUGUUGGACAGACUGUGCUCGUUGAC
RNAcentral lists this long non-coding RNA (312 nucleotides) under Coturnix japonica (Japanese quail). RNAcentral's name for it is "lncRNA (ENSCJPG00005019199.1)". The record is from RNAcentral. Lineage: Eukaryota; Metazoa; Chordata; Aves; Galliformes; Phasianidae.